GAAACUCGCCUGCACGAAGUUGGAAUUGCUAGUAAUCGCGGAUCAGCAUGCCGCGGUGAAUACGUUCCCGGGUCUUGUACACACCGCCCGUCACACCAUGGGAGCUGGUAACACCCGAAGUCAGUAGUCUAACCGCAAGGAGGACGCUGCCGAAGGUGGGAUUAGCGACUGGGGUGAAGUCGUAACAAGGUACC
RNAcentral lists this ribosomal RNA (194 nucleotides) under uncultured bacterium. Its description in RNAcentral is "partial 16S ribosomal RNA". It matches the Rfam family "Bacterial small subunit ribosomal RNA", at positions 1307 to 1500 of the family's 1533-position model. The record is from RNAcentral.